AUGGCGUCGGCGAUUCCGCCAUGCGGCGGCGAGGGCGUCCAUGACGGCGGCGAGGGCGUCCACGGCGGCGGCCAGGACGUCCACGGCGGCGGUGAGAUGCCGUUCUGGCCUCCUAGCGGAACGGUUGGCGUCGACGGGGAUGGCGGCGAUGAGUCCAGCUCCGCGUACUCGACCGACGACGAGGAGUCGAUGUUACUCACCAUGGAGCAGCGGUUGCGGUUGGCGCAUCAGUGGGUGGCGAACCCUAGCAGCAGCCAUGAGUUGACGCAUGGACUUGGCGGCGUGCUUUUGGAUGAAGACAUUUGGCAAGUAAGGAUCCAUUUUGAUGCAAGAGAACCAUUGAAGAUGAAGCUGUGUGGUUCAGAUAUUACUUAUCUGAAUUUGGUUGCAGUGAUGGAAACCCAAGGAUUUAAUGCAUAUGAUUGUUUGUUUCACAUUGAAAAUCCAUCUUUAGGAGAGAAAGGGCUGGAUUUGGUAGACAGUCAUGCAGAAUUACAGAUGAUAAAGAGGAAGAUCCAGGACAAAUUGGUGCUUAAUUUGCUAGUCAGGGCUUGUCCACCCCCUGAUACUGAUUUUGAGAGGCAGCAUUUUGAAAAGCCAGACUUGUCCACUGUGGUGUACCAAGAGCCUGUUGUUUAUGAUCUGAGUGAGCCUCCUAUCUUAGCUGUUGAUCAGGAAGGAGUAGUCUUUGAGAGUCAAUGUAGCACACAUCACCCUGUUGCUCCUGCUGGUGUUUGCACACAAGAAAGCAGAAAUGCAACUAACAAGUUGAAAGCAGUUUUGGAAGAAGAAGAAGAGGGAUAUCAAGGAUUUGAGGCUUAUGAGGACAGUGAUUCCUGUGAUGAGGAUGGUCAAAUUGGAAGUGACCCUAAUUACAUGGUUGAUGAAGAAGAUGUAGAGGUGGAAGAGGGAAAGAGGCAGAGAGAGCUAGAAGUACAAGAGGAAGAAUCAGAUGAUGAUCAAUCAGAAGAGGAAGAAAUGCUGCAUUAUGAGGGUGACACUGAAGUUGAGGACCCAUUUGAGGUAGAGGAAGAUAGGACUUUUGAACAAGAAGAAGAAACUAUAGUUGAACCUGUAAAGAAGAAGCAGAAGCUGCCAGUUAGAAGAGGCCCAACCACUAGGUCACAUUGUAGUGAGCUACCAGAGGUUGAACCUGAUUUUAGACCAUCAUCAGAUGAAGAAGAGAAGGGGUUGUUGAGGGAGAGUGAUGAUGAUGGUUUUCAGCCACUCUCUUUUGUCCUACAAAAGAAAAGGAAGAGUAGGGCAAAGAAAAGGCCUCCUAGGAAGUGGUACAAUGAGAAAAUGGAGCAACCACAUGAGCAACUGUGUAUGAAGUUGUGUUUUAGGGAUCAGCAUCAAUUCAGAGAAGCUUUGUUGAAUUUGCACAUCACCCAGGCCAGGAAUUUCAGGUAUCACAGGAAUUCAGAUCAGAGGAUAAUUGUUGAGUGUACAGAUAAAAAAUGCCAGUUCUUAAUGGUGGCAGCAGUUAUAAAAGGGGAGAAAACCUUUGUAAUUAAGAAGAUGAGACUAGAGCACACUUGCCCUAGUACCACUGAGACCACCAGGGUUAGUGUUAAGUGGCUAGCACAGAAAUAUGAGCAUCUCUUUAGAUCUGAUAUAACUACUGGUAUUCAGACUUUAAUUGAUGCAUGCAAUGAAAAAUAUGGUGUAGAUGUGCCCAAGUGCAUGGCAUAUAGGGAAAAUAACAUAGCUAUUGAUGCUGUGUUAGGAGAUCACAGGAAGCAAUAUCCUAGGCUUAAAGACUAUGCUCAGACUGUCAUGGACACAAACCCUGGGAGUAGAGUAAUAGUCACUACUGUUACUCCAGUACCUAAUGCCAAAAUACCCCACCCAGGCCCAAGAUUCCAUGCCAUGUUUUUUUGCCUUAAUGGAGCAAGGGAGGGGUUUCUCAAUGGGUGUAGGCCUUUCAUUGGUGUUGAUGGAUGCUUCAUUAAGCUCACUACAGGUGCUCAACUACUUGUUGCCACUGGUAGAGAUGGCAAUAACAACAUAUAUCCACUGGCAUUUGGCAUAGUUGGUCAAGAGGACACACCUAGUUGGUGUUGGUUUCUACACCAACUGAAAAUUUGCCUAGGGGGAGAAGUGGGCAAGUUUGGAGCUUAUACUAUAAUGUCAGAUAGACAAAAGGGGUUAUUGAAUGCAGUGAAUGCUGUGUUUCCAAGUUGCAACCAAAGAUUCUGCCUUAGACAUUUAUAUGCAAAUUUCCAAAAUGCUGGGUUUAGGGGUGAAGAUCUUAAGAAGUGCAUGGAUAAUGCUAGCUAUGCCUACAAUGAACACAAAUUUAAUAUUGCAAUGAAUGAUCUUAGAGCUGAAAAGGUGUUCAACAAGUACAUUCUAGAUGUUAGGAGAAAACCUAUAAGGACAAUGUGUGAUGGGAUAAAAGAUAAGCAGACGCAAACACAUGCUGUCAACCUGGAACUUGAGACUUGUGGAUGCAGGAAGUGGGACCUUAGUGGCAUACCUUGCAACCAUGCCAUCUCUGCAAUAAACAAGGCUAAAAGGAAACCAGAGGAUUAUGUCAGCAAAUUCUUCAAGAAAGAUUUUUAUGCUGCAGCUUAUGAACCAAUGAUCUUUCCUGUGCCUGGUGAGCAUGAUUGGACAAGGACCCCUGGUCCAGACAUAGAACCACCUGCAUUCAAAAUCAAGAGAGGAAGAAGGAAAGAAAAGAGGAUCAAGGGCAAAUUUGAAGUACCAAAGCCAAAAGAAACUUCAAGAAUGGGGACCAUAACAUGUGGCAAUUGUGGUCUUCAAGGGCAUAGGCUAAUCCAAGUACCUCACAGCCAAGAGCUGCUGGUCCUUCUACUGCACCAACAGCAAGACAACCAAGACCUGCUGCUUCUGCUCCUACACCACCAUCAUCUGGAAGAAGAGGAGCUGGCAGAGGAGCUGGUGCUACUUCUACUACAACACCACCAUCUGGCAGAGGAAGAGGAGCUGGCAGAGGAAGAGGAGAUGCUACUUCUACUACAACACCACCAUCUGGCAGAGGAAGAGGAGCUGGCAGAGGAAGAGGAGCUGCUACUUCUACUACAACACCACCAUCUGGAAGAGGAGCUGGAAGAGGUGCUCCAAUGCCAUUCAUUGCCCCAAGGCAAUAUGCUGACAUUCCUACUGAUGGCACACACACUGGAUGGAUGUCCUACUUCACUGCUAGCAUGGGAGGUGGAGGAGCCAUGAAGAAGGGGGGAGGAGUCGCGCUCGCCGGUGCGCUACCGCGAGAACCCAAUGGCAUACGAGCCUCCGGUGAUGUGCCACUGCUCAACUCCGAGGAAGGCGCCAAGAUGGAUCUCCUGGAGCAGGCAGAACCCUGGUAGGAGGUACUACAGCUGCGUGGAUGCUAUGCACGGUGGCUGUGGAUUUGUGCAAUGGCAUGAUGAUCCAUUGCCCACAUUCUGGAGUGAGCUCAUUGGGGAUCUGCGUGACGAAGUAUGGAGGCUUAAAGGUGCAACUUUUGCUAGAUCUGAAGAUCAAUUUCCAAUCCUGACUCCAAGUGAAGAUGAUGGCACAAGGGAGGCCAUGUUUCUGUCUCUGCAAACUCAACUCAGAGAGAAGAAUGCAGAGAUUGCAGGGAUUAGGGCCAAAUUUCACAAUGUGUUGUUUCUUUUCACUAUAUUUGUGCUUGGCUUAGUUGCAGGCAAGAUAUUAAGUUAG
RNAcentral lists this ribosomal RNA (3672 nucleotides) under Triticum aestivum (bread wheat). RNAcentral describes it as "partial small subunit ribosomal RNA". Lineage: Eukaryota; Viridiplantae; Streptophyta; Magnoliopsida; Poales; Poaceae. The record is from RNAcentral.